This 466-nucleotide long non-coding RNA is filed under the name Homo sapiens (human). Its description in RNAcentral is "non-protein coding lnc-ZNF804B-2:4". Lineage: Eukaryota; Metazoa; Chordata; Mammalia; Primates; Hominidae. The record is from RNAcentral.
AAGCAAUAUGUCAAUUCCUCAAAGAGCUAAAAAAGAACUACCAUUGGACUCAGCAAUCCCAUUACUGGGUAUAUACUCAGAGGAAUAUAAGUCACUCUACUAUAAACACACACGCAUGCAAAUUUUCAUUGUAGCACUAUUUACAAUAGCAAAGACAUGGAAUCAACCUAAAUGCUCAUCAAUGACAGAUCGGAUAAAGAAAAUAUGCAUCUUCAACCUUUCUGGACUACAGCACCUGCCAACUGACCCCCACAUCAUGGCUCCAACGCUGGCUUCAUCACAUAUCUUCUCUCUCAGUCCCUUUGGCUCUCAGGGUGCAAUAGCUUAACAAAAUUGCUGAUCUAGGUGCCUCAGCAUUGUUUCUUUGUCAUAGUCUCUGUAUUAUCUUAUUUUGAGCCAUUCUUUUCCUGCAAAGAUCCUAACUGAAUGAGAUAACUACUUCAUAAGCUAUUUGUAAGGUUUAAAU